Non-coding RNA from Pseudoalteromonas luteoviolacea S4054, 177 nucleotides. The record is from Rfam. Lineage: Bacteria; Pseudomonadati; Pseudomonadota; Gammaproteobacteria; Alteromonadales; Pseudoalteromonadaceae.
AGGGCUGGAAGAGGUGCGUUAUUCAGGUAGCUAGAUUGAGGAGAGCAAACUCCAAUGACAUCGAGUGAGGGGAAUUAACGCCGAGAAGAAGUCACUUUUGCUAAGUGAUUUUUUCGGGCGCUUGGGCUGAAUCCCAACGACUGUCACCAACAUAUUUGGUGGAGAGCUUCUGGUCUU